This 203-nucleotide ribosomal RNA is filed under the name uncultured Vexilliferidae. RNAcentral's name for it is "partial Bacterial small subunit ribosomal RNA". It matches the Rfam family "Bacterial small subunit ribosomal RNA", at positions 1181 to 1383 of the family's 1533-position model. The record is from RNAcentral. Lineage: Eukaryota; Discosea; Flabellinia; Dactylopodida; Vexilliferidae.
GACGUCAAGUCCUCAUGGCCCUUAUGGGCUGGGCUACACACGUGCUACAAUGGUAUUUACAGAGGGAAGCGAGACAGCGAUGUGGAGCGGACCCCUUAAAGAAUAUCGUAGUCCGGAUCGGAGUCUGCAACUCGACUCCGUGAAGUCGGAAUCGCUAGUAAUCGCGUAACAGCAUGACGCGGUGAAUACGUUCCCGGGCCUUG